This 468-nucleotide ribosomal RNA is filed under the name uncultured bacterium. RNAcentral's name for it is "partial 16S ribosomal RNA". It matches the Rfam family "Bacterial small subunit ribosomal RNA", at positions 28 to 507 of the family's 1533-position model. The record is from RNAcentral.
GACGAACGCUGGCGGCGUGCUUAACACAUGCAAGUCGAACGGAAAGGCCCUGCUUUUGUGGGGUGCUCGAGUGGCGAACGGGUGAGUAACACGUGAGUAACCUGCCCUUGACUUUGGGAUAACUUCAGUAAACUGGGGCUAAUACCGGAUAGGAGCUCCUGCUUCAUGGUGGGGGUUGGAAAGUUUCGGCGGUUGAGGAUGGACUCGCGGCUUAUCAGCUUGUUGGUGGGGUAGUGGCUUACCAAGGCUUUGACGGGUAGCCGGCCUGAGAGGGUGACCGGCCACAUUGGGACUGAGAUACGGCCCAGACUCCUAAGGGAGGCAGCAGUGGGGAAUAUUGCACAAUGGGCGGAAGCCUGAUGCAGCAACGCCGCGUGCGGGAUGACGGCCUUAGGGUUGUAAACCGCUUUCGCCUGUGACGAAGCGUGAGUGACGGUAAUGGGUAAAGAAGCACCGGCUAACUACGUG